AAUAAUUUUAAUAGAUCAAUCUAGACCCUUUUAAUUAAUCAGAUAUUGCAUAAUAUAAAUUCAAAUAAAUAGUGCGCAAACAGAUACAGCCCGACAUCGGGGUGUCACAAGUCACGAGCAUCUACUAAGGUCUAAAAUACAACGAAAAUUUUGGAAAUACUAAAUACAGUCUAAUGACAUCAAGAGGGAGUAAAGCAGUGUUGCGGACGCCGGGCAGCUACCUCGCUAAACUCCAAUGACUCUGCCUCUGCUCAACCAAUACUCGAUACCGCGUGCAAAAAUACCUGAAUCUGCACACAAGGUGCAGGGAGUAAAGUGAGUACUCCAACUCAGUGAGUAAUAAUCAUAACUAAAGACUGAGUGAUAGGAAAUCACGAAAAAUACAUUAACGUGUUGUAUAGAAGUAGUACAAAACUAGUAAGAAAACAAUGAAGCUAUGAAAUCUCUUAAAGCAUCUUAGCUCAGUUUAAACUUCUUUAAAAGAAUGACUUUUUCAACAGUUAAGCAAUUGAAUGCAAAGCAAUUAGAGCAAAUAAGCACAGAAAAUCCGCCCCUCGGGCACAACUACACAAUUAAAGGGGUAUAAGGGAUUUUUUCCAAUUAAAGGACAAUCGAAACGAGAUUAAUUAUUUAAAAUUCAGAGUCGCCACUUGGGAUAAUUUAUGGUGUCCCAAGUCACCGGUUUAAAAUCCCGAAUCGAGGAAAGUUGACUCUAUUUACGGUGUGCGAACACAGAAAUCCGGGUAAAAAAUUCUGUUAACCCGGGAGAAGGUGUUAGGCAUUCCCGAGUUCCGUGGUUCUAGCACGGUCGCUUUGAUCAUACUUGGCUUAUUAAAAUUGUUUAAUUACUCGUUUUAGAACCUAUGCGCAUUUAACUUUUACCGCUUUUUAAUUAAAAAAAUUAUCUUGAAAUGGGUUACGCGUACGUGUACCCAUUUGUUUGGCGCAUCAAAAAUCAUGUCACGCGAACGUGUCCACAAUCAAUAACGCUUUAUUAAUGUUAAGAAAGUUUAGUCAAAGUUGUGCGAACGCUACUCCGAUUUUAUUUUUAAAAUCGUAAUUAUGUCACGUGAACGUGUACACAAUCACGGUUAUAGACUAAGUAGCGCCUAAAACAUUUCUACGAAUAUUUAUUUUUUGAAAUCGUACUCGUGUCACGCGAACGUGUACACGAUUAAUAACAUUUUAUGAUUUAAAGAAAUGACAGAAAAGCUGGAUGCAUAUCAUUAACAGUAUGAUGCAACAACAGUACGAUAGUAUUAACUUCCUUUACUCGUUUUGCAAAUUCGCCGACAACAUGCUCCCUAUGACUUCAGUCGACCAUUUGUUUUUUAACAGAAUCUAUCAACAUUUAGGAUUUACAAAGCAAGAAAAGUUAUCACUACAGUAGUACUUCAUGAAACUUUGGAGCUUUUUCAAAUUAUAUUAAACUAACAAUGAACAAUGAAAAUUCAAGCCUUAAUUAUUCACGGAACUGACUUCCCUAACUACUAAUACUAAAGAUAACUAAAUUAUUUUGAGAAAAACUAGCCAAGGGCAGGAAAUCAAAGAAUCUGCCAACAAACUCUUUAAGGCACAAUUUCACCUAUGUAGAUUUAACUCUAAAUCUUGAUUUCACUUAACUACAACUACCACAAAUUUGGGGAAAAUAUGAUAGGAACUACAAAUUAAUUUUAACCAUUAAAACCAUCCUAAUAUAGAUUGAACAAAAACAUACCAACAAUAACAAAAAAAAACCGCAACCAAAUACUGCUAGGGAAUGAGCAAAGAAACGAUAUAUUAAAUCCAAGAUUCAGAUUAAAAUAGAAUUACACAUUACAUAAUGCAUGAAAUUAAGCUAAGAUAGCAAGAGAGGGGAAAUAAACCUCAAGUAAACCUGAAAUUUGAUUGAUUUACAGUUUGAAAAUGCUAAGCGACGGAACGAUCAGGAGCCGGAACCGGAAAAACUCGAGCGCCGGAACGGGCAGUGCCAAAACGUCUUCGUCGCUUAGAUCUCGUAACGUUAAAUCUUCCAAUCUUCUGAUUUCUUUUCCUCCGAAGCUUUCCUCAGUGAUUUAAAAUGAUCCAAGACUUAACCAAGUAGUAUGAUUGGCGCUAAUUUCCCCAAAAUUCUCAUUGAAUAAUGAUGUCUCCAGAUUUUUAUGCAAAUGGUACCUUUGUUGUCAUCUCUAAUAGUGUCGUCGGCUGGUUGUGCUAAGUGUAUUUUAAGACUAGUUUUGGUUAUAUAGAAGGGUUUUUAGGUUAAGGGAGCAUGCGUCUAGGAAUUAUGGGUUUAAGAA
This 2279-nucleotide long non-coding RNA is filed under the name Nicotiana tabacum (common tobacco). RNAcentral's name for it is "long non-coding RNA (NTAB_LNC009582)". Lineage: Eukaryota; Viridiplantae; Streptophyta; Magnoliopsida; Solanales; Solanaceae. The record is from RNAcentral.